GCCAGGCAUGGUGGUGCGUGCCUGUAGUCCCAGCUACUCGGGAGGCUGAGGCAGGAGAAUCACUUGAACCCAGGAGGAGGAGGUUGCAGUGAGCAGAGAUCGCACCACUGCACUCCAGCCUGGGUAAUAGAGUGAGACUCUGUCUCGA
This 148-nucleotide non-coding RNA is filed under the name Pan troglodytes (chimpanzee). Lineage: Eukaryota; Metazoa; Chordata; Mammalia; Primates; Hominidae. The record is from Rfam by way of RNAcentral.